This is a long non-coding RNA of Equus caballus (horse), 1725 nucleotides long. The record is from Ensembl. NCBI's taxonomy places the organism in Eukaryota, Metazoa, Chordata, Mammalia, Perissodactyla, Equidae.
GGAAGACUAGCCCUGAGCUAACAUCUGCCAAUCCUCCUCUUUUUGCUGAGGAAGACUGGCCCUGAGCUAACAUCUGAGCUCAUCUUCCUCUAUUUUAUAUGUGGGACACCUACCACAGCAUGGCUUGCCAAGUGGUGCUAUGUCCGCACCCGGGAUCCGAACUGGCAAACCCCAGGCCACCAAAGCGGAACGUGCGCACUUAACUUCUGCGCCACUGGGCCAGCCCCUCUCCAUAAAACACUUAUUAGUUAUGUAAGGGAAAAGAAUAACUUUACAGCGAAGAAGCCCAGGAAGGUAUCACUUCAUUCAAAUGGUUAGUGUGAAUAUCAACAAUAGGGCAAAUUGAAAUCAUGAGACACCAAGCAGUGUGAAGAGUUCAACAUCUCUUUGUGAUAUUCUGGAAAAAGAUUCUUUACUUGAUCAUGAUGGAAUCAUAAGGAAACAUCAGGCAAAUCCAAAUUGAGGAACAUUUUAUAAAAACCCAAACUGAGGAAUAUUCUAUGAAAUAAUUUUCAAAAGUGUGAAGGUCACUGUAGUGGACAGAACCUAAGGUGACCCCCUCCGCUGCCAUGAUCCCUGUCUUUUGGUGUUCACACCUUUAUGUAAUCUGCUCCCCUUCAGUUUGAGCAGGACUUGUGACUUGCUUUUAACCCACAGGAUAUGGCAAAAGCGAUGGGCUGUCACUCCAUGAUUACCUAGGACGUAUAUAAGACUCCAUCUUAUUAGCAGACAUACUGGAGACACUCCCCCUUUCUAUCCUUGAUGUAAACUGCCAUGAAGGAAGUGGCCAUGUUGGAGAAGCUCACAUGACAAUGAACUGUGGACAGCCUCUAGGAGCUAAAAUAAAGAAGGUGUUGGAAGCAGAUAUUUCCCCAGUACAGCUUCUGAGGAGACCAUCGCAGUGGCUGACACAUAGAAUUCAGCCUGGUGAGACUCUCAAGCAUAGAACCCAGUUAAGCCAGGCCUGGACUCCUGAUCCACAGGAAGCUUGAAAUUAUGUGUGCAUUGUUUUAAGCUGCUAAGUUUGUGGCAAUUGUUGUGCAGUGUAGAAAACUAAUAUAGUUACGAAAGUCAAUUAAAGACUGAGAAACUGUUCCAGAGUAAAGGAGACUAAAGUGAUAGACAACUAAAUGCAUUGCAUUUCCCAGAAACUGAGGAGCAAAUACUCCUCCCCACAAACCAAGAUGAGUUUGAAUGUGGCAAGGGGGAUUAGAACGGUGAGAUUAGAGCUCAGUGGGUGCGACUCCCCCAUUUUGUUACUUGAGUCACAUUCCAGAUGGCCAGUUGGCACCAGGAAUGCACCAGUUUCACACCCUGAGCUUGCAAAGCUCCCUGGUGACAUUUCCAGUUAGUGGCACCUGCUUACCCUUGUUUUCAUUGUGAGGAUAUAUUGCUGUGUCUCCUUACAGCACUAAGGAGGAACGGCCUCGGAUGCUCAAAUCCUCACUCUCUGACUCACUACAUAAUUUUGGACCUGCCACUAAGCCUCAGUUUCCACACCUGGAAAGAGAGGAGAAUAAUUACAACCUCAUUUAUUUGUCGUGAAGAUAAAAGGAAAAUCAUGAUGAGAUAAUGCUGUUGGUCAACAACUCGGCAGGUGGGGAAGCAGGUUCAGAGGCUUCCACAUAGCCUUUCCAGCUAUGAUGGAUCUUACUCCACAGAAGAAUGAACCAAAGGGAAGGUUCUUGCAACUCCCAAAUACAUUCAUUACAAAUAAACAUUCAG